RNAcentral lists this small RNA (132 nucleotides) under Klebsiella pneumoniae. RNAcentral describes it as "RtT sRNA". It matches the Rfam family "RtT RNA". From Rfam's summary of the family: This family represents a bacterial cis-regulatory element known as RtT RNA. The exact function of RtT is unknown although it is thought that it may be involved in changing the cellular response in relation to amino acid starvation. RNAcentral also lists the same sequence under 39 other names. The record is from RNAcentral. Lineage: Bacteria; Pseudomonadati; Pseudomonadota; Gammaproteobacteria; Enterobacterales; Enterobacteriaceae.
UAUUCUGCCCCACGGGGAAGGAUGAGAAGCUUCGACUAAGGUUCGACUCGAGCGAAGCGAGAGAACGUUGCCGCAGGCAACGGCCCGAAGGGCGAGGCGCUUUAGCGCCGAGUAAUCCUUCCCCCACCACUG